UUCCUUUUUAUACAAACUACCACUUUAAAACAUAUAUCUAAUUAACAAUGUUCAUACCCAACACCUAUUUAGUAUAUAUGGUGUGGGCUACUCUAUAUAGAGCUAUUCCAAAAUAUAAGUAGUAAGCCCAACAAGAUGGAGAGCACAGACAAGCAAUAUGACAUUGGCCAUGGCUGAGACUUGAGGGCUCAAAGCCGGAGAUGCUAACAAUUGAGAGAGAAAUAG
RNAcentral lists this long non-coding RNA (225 nucleotides) under Elaeis guineensis (African oil palm). RNAcentral's name for it is "long non-coding RNA (EGUI_LNC011835)". Lineage: Eukaryota; Viridiplantae; Streptophyta; Magnoliopsida; Arecales; Arecaceae. The record is from RNAcentral.